GAACGCACAUUGCGCCCUGUGGUAUUCCGCAGGGCAUGCCUGUUCGAGCGUCAUUCAACCUCCUCAAGCCCUGCUUGGUGUUGGGCGUUUGUCCCGCCUCUCUGGCGCGGACUCGCCUCAAAAAUAUUGGCAGCCGUCACCCUGGCUUCGAGCGCAGCACAUUCGCGCCCGGCACCUAAGUGGCGGCUUCCAGAAGCCCACCCCCUCGGUUGACCUCGGAUCAGGUAGGGAUACCCGCUGAACUUA
RNAcentral lists this unclassified non-coding RNA (246 nucleotides) under uncultured Dothideomycetes. RNAcentral's name for it is "sequence contains 5.8S rRNA gene". The stretch from base 1 to 53 matches the Rfam family "5.8S ribosomal RNA", at positions 102 to 154 of the family's 154-position model. The record is from RNAcentral. Lineage: Eukaryota; Fungi; Ascomycota; Dothideomycetes.